This is a long non-coding RNA of Gossypium arboreum, 246 nucleotides long. RefSeq lists it as uncharacterized. The transcript is spliced from 2 exons. Lineage: Eukaryota; Viridiplantae; Streptophyta; Magnoliopsida; Malvales; Malvaceae. The record is from RefSeq and is a predicted model, not a curated record.
AGGAAAACUAAAAUUCGGGCUAAAAUGGGGAAAAUACCAAGUUGUGGACGAAAUGGUAAAAGUAGCCAUUUUCGCAUACGAGUGUUGACAAGCCAGCUCGGAAAUCGGAAACGGUCGGAGGCACGCUCACACUAUCCGUAUACCAUCUUGGCAUAAUGGCUUGUAUAUUUUGAGUAUGGCAUGUAUAGCAUUAUAAUCAUUUUGUGUAUAUGGUCUUAUGAUAUGGUUAUUGAGUGGUAUGGAAAU